CCACAAGCCAACAGGCAGAAACGUAAUCCGAUAUUGUAGCCAGGAACAGAAGGAGGUCCGAAACCAGGAAAACAGAGAGUGAAGUACCACAGGAAAACACAGAAGCAAAAGUCAAAAUGGCAAGCCAGAGUCGAAAGCAGAAAUACUGUAAUCACAGGGCACAGUCCAGGGGCAAUCCAGAAAAACACAGCGAAAACAAGCACAGGAAGCUGAGGCAAGCUCUCCAUUUCUCCUCACGUCAGGAGCCAGAGACAGGAGUGAAAGAUGGGAUUCCCAGCAGAUAAGUGCUUCCUGAGCUCACGAGAGGAAAGUAAAAAAAUAUAUAUUUUGCAUUCAGCCAUCACUCCUCUUGACUGUAACUGUACAAGAUCAGCAAGUGGAAACAGUCAAGCACCAAAGUCUCCAUCUUAAUGACACAUUACUCUAAUUUUCUGUGUCAGUGCUUUAUUAAUCUCGUGUCUUGUAGUCCAACAGAUGGCCAC
RNAcentral lists this long non-coding RNA (482 nucleotides) under Lepisosteus oculatus (spotted gar). Its description in RNAcentral is "lncRNA (ENSLOCG00000022780.1)". The record is from RNAcentral. Lineage: Eukaryota; Metazoa; Chordata; Actinopteri; Semionotiformes; Lepisosteidae.